CCUACGGGAGGCAGCAGUAGGGAAUCUUCCACAAUGGGCGAAAGCCUGAUGGAGCAACGCCGCGUGGGUGAAGAAGGUCUUCGGAUCGUAAAACUCUGUUGUUAGAGAAGAAAGUGCGUGAUUGUAACUGUUCACGUUUCGACGGUAUCUAACCCGCAAGCCACGGCUAACUACGUGCCAGCAGCCGCGGUAAGACGUAGGUGGCAAGCGUUAUCCGGAUUUAUUGGGCGUAAAGGGAACGCAGGCGGGCUUUUAAGUCCGAUGUGAAAGCCUUCGGCUUAACCGGAGUAGUGCAUUGGAAACUGGGCGACUUGAGUGCAGAAGAGGAGAGUGGAACUCCUGGUGUAGCGGUGAAAUGCGUAGAUAGAUGGAAGAACACCAGUGGCGAAGGCGGCUCUCUGGUCUGUAACUGACGCUGAGGUUCGAAAGCGUGGGUAGCAAACAGGAUUAGAUACCCGGGUAGUC
Molecule: ribosomal RNA, 465 nt
Filed under: uncultured bacterium
Lineage: Bacteria
Description: partial 16S ribosomal RNA
Rfam family: Bacterial small subunit ribosomal RNA
Source: RNAcentral